RNAcentral lists this ribosomal RNA (440 nucleotides) under uncultured bacterium. Its description in RNAcentral is "partial 16S ribosomal RNA". It matches the Rfam family "Bacterial small subunit ribosomal RNA", at positions 338 to 795 of the family's 1533-position model. The record is from RNAcentral.
CCUACGGGAGGCAGCAGUGGGGAAUAUUGCACAAUGGGGGAAACCCUGAUGCAGCGACGCCGCGUGCAGGAAGAAGUAUUUCGGUAUGUAAAGCUCUAUUAGCAGGGAAGAAUAUGACGGUACCUGACUAAGAAGCCCCGGCUAACUACGUGCCAGCAGCCGCGGUAAUACGUAGGGGGCAAGCGUUAUCCGGAUUUACUGGGUGUAAAGGGAGCGUAGGCGGGGUAAGAAGUCUGAAGUGAAAUCCUGAGGCUUAACUACGGAACUGCUUUGGAAACUGUUCGGCUGGAGUGCAGGAGAGGUAAGCGGAAUUCUUAGUGUAGGGGUGAAAUGCGUAGAUAUCAGGAGGAACACCAGUGGCGAAGGCGGCUUACUGGACUGUAACUGACGUUGAGGCUCGAAAGCGUGGGGAGCAAACAGGAUUAGAUACCCCUGUAGUC